This 251-nucleotide ribosomal RNA is filed under the name uncultured bacterium. Its description in RNAcentral is "partial 16S ribosomal RNA". It matches the Rfam family "Bacterial small subunit ribosomal RNA", at positions 524 to 775 of the family's 1533-position model. The record is from RNAcentral.
UACGGAGGGGGCUAGCGUUGUUCGGAAUUACUGGGCGUAAAGCGCACGUAGGCGGCUUUGUAAGUUAGAGGUGAAAGCCCGGGGCUCAACUCCGGAAUUGCCUUUAAGACUGCAUCGCUAGAAUUGUGGAGAGGUAAGUGGAAUUCCGAGUGUAGAGGUGAAAUUCGUAGAUAUUCGGAAGGAACACCAGUGGCGAAGGCGGCACUAGUGCUGUAUUGACGCUGAGGUGCGAAAGCGUGGGGAGCAACAGG